UAGGGAAUAUUGGACAAUGGGUGAGAGCCUGAUCCAGCCAUGCCGCGUGCAGGAAGAAGGCGUUAUGCGUUGUAAACUGCUUUUUGCCAGGGGAUAAAAAGACCGUGCGCGGUUAAUUGAAGGUACCUGGUGAAUAAGCCACGGCUAACUACGUGCCAGCAGCCGCGGUAAUACGUAGGUGGCAAGCGUUGUCCGGAUUUAUUGGGUUUAAAGGGUGCGUAGGUGGCCCUGUAAGUCAGUGGUGAAAUAUCUCAGCUUAACUGAGAGGGUGCCAUUGAUACUGCAGGGCUUGAGUACAGAUGAGGUAGGCGGAAUUGACGGUGUAGCGGUGAAAUGCAUAGAUAUCGUCAAGAACACCGAUAGCGAAGGCAGCUUACCAAGCUGUAACUGACACUGAGGCACGAAAGUGUGGGGAUCGAAACAGGAUUAGAUACCCCNGUAGUCCCUGAGCGGGCUGGCAAGGCGCAU
Molecule: ribosomal RNA, 468 nt
Filed under: uncultured bacterium
Lineage: Bacteria
Description: bacterial SSU rRNA
Rfam family: Bacterial small subunit ribosomal RNA
Source: RNAcentral